GUUAUAGUCAGCCCAUGAGCCCAAGAGAGAAGAAAAGUUGGCUGUAUUAAACAGUUGAACCUGUGCGGCGCGAAUUUCUUUGGUGACAGAAGGCGUGUCAGCCAUUUUGUAGCCGACUUCAUCCAUGACCCGUAAGGAAAGCUCCUGGCCACCUUCCUUCACCAGUAUCAUCACAUCUUCCAAAGAACAAUUUGGACGUGUCAGAUUUCGACCCGACUUGACUGAUGAAGGUGCCAGGACGCUGUGGGACGCAACCGAGGUUGAAGCCGAAUCCCAAGGGACCUUUUUGGAAGGAGCAGACUCUGCCGGGCUUGGACGGGUCACGUGUGGCAUUUUGUAGCAGCGACUCCACCGGCUCCUCGUUGACCUCCAGCAGCACCUCGCCGUCACGCAUCCCCGCUCUCUCGGCUGGACUGCCGGCGUCCACCUUACGCAGCAUGUGAGCUGUAGUCGGCGAAUAAACGGUCAAGAAGGACAAGAAGGCACCAUUUUGUUCAGGUGUGAAGCUGAUGCCCAGACCGGAGACAGGAUCCCUGAUGAUGUGACACAGUCUGGGUGGCUCCAAGUCUUCGCUCUUAUGCGCUCGGACGCAGAUGGAAGCCGUAAGAUUGGCCUUCCUCCUUUUUCAGCACGCAGAGACGUGGCCUGGGGGUCGACUCUGGGGGAGGAAAAGUCCUUGAACGGCCUUAUUCCAACACGGGACCGUUAGAAGCUGAUGGACGUGUUACCUUCCGUGAUGACCAUCAGUGGGUUGUCUAUUCCCUCUUUAGGAUUAAAUGUAAACUUCCUUCACAGAAAAAAGUCAAGUCAGAUCAUGUGUAAGUUCAAUGUAGAAUAAAAAAAAAAAAAGGGAAUUACAUGUCAAAGUGAGCAAAAACAUACAGAAUUCCUGACUAUACAAAUAGAAAAAAAUCUAAUUUAACAAAAAUAAUUAAAUAAUAAUUAUUAAUUAUUUUCUUAUUUUAAUUAUUUUUAUAAUAUAAUGUUUUUUAUGUUAUAAAUAUAAUUUUUAUAAUAUAAAUAUAAAAAUUUCAUAAUCUAAAAAUUAUAUAUAAUAUAAUAAUAUUUUAUAAUUAUAAAAAAUAAUUAUAUAUAAAACAAAACAGCAAAAAAAAACAAAAAAAUGAAAAGUUGUAUUAAAAAUGUUAAAAAACAGACACAAUAUAUAAGUUAUAUUAUUAUUAUCAUUAUUAUUAUUAUUAGACACAACAAGUAUUACCUGAAUAAAGUCAAAAUAUUAUAAUUACAAGAAGAAAAAUGUAAAGAGGAAAAGUACAAAAAAAUGGAAAAAAGCCCAAAUAUUAACAUUAAUAUUUUAUUAAUUAAUUAAUAUUAAUAUUUUAAAAUUCAGAAUCAAAUGAGGAAAAAAGUCACAAUUUUACAGGAAUGAACUGGUAAUAUAAACAAGGAAGAAUUAUGUCAUUUUAGUAGCAUAUAGAGGUGAAAUAAUUAAAGCAAAAAGAUGUGUGUGUGGUUGUAAAGGAUAUAAUAUUAUUUUUAAUAAACAAAAAAUACAUCAUUUUUGAAAAAUUAGAUUGGGGAAAAAAUUAUAAUAUUAUGCGAAUAAAGUCAAAAUAUUGUGGGAAUAAAGUCCCUAUUAUAAGAACAUUUACAGUUGAGAUAGUAGCUGCAAUUUUACAAGAAUUUUCCCUUUUUAGCGUAUUUAUAUGUGCUGCUUUCACUUUUUGCUAUGUGACCUUCGCUGGGAAAGGUUUGGACACCCCUGAUGUAAACAGUUCAGACCUUUCAUUUCCACCAAUCCUUCAAAAACAAAGAUCAAUUCAAGUGAUUGUCUUUGCAGCAAAGCAUUGAAAUCACGAUAUGGAGGUCGAGUAUACAUACGUAUCAACUUACAGCUCUCUGGAUGUCAGUCCAGGUCCACUCGGCUGAGGCAUGGGUUUUCCAGAGAAGCCGUUUUUGAGCCUGCCAGGGAGUACAAAUGCGAGCACACUUCAGCUGAAGUACUAUCAUAAAGGAGGGUUUAACUUCAGAUGAAUAAUCUUUUGUCCUUGUACUCUCGGAAAGGGUUGGGAUCUCCUAGAACAGUGUUAAUCAUUUGUGGUUAACUGAUAAAGAAAGUAGUUUUCCUAGAAACUACAGACAGCACUGCCGGAUAAAAUACAAUACCGGUACACGCCUUUAUUGCAUUAUUUAUUUUUUACUGGAAGUGAACCUCAAGUAAAUGCAAACGGAUGCACUUGAGCAUAUCAACUCUAAACCUACAUGAAUUGAGAUCUAUCAGUCUGGAAAAGGUCAUAAAGCCACUUAUAAAGCUUUGGGACUCCAGCCAACCACAGCGAGAGCAAUCAUUCACAAAUGACGAAAACAUGGAACAUUGAUGAACCUUCCCAGGAGUGGUCGCCGAACCAAAAUGACCCCAAGAACGUAACAUGGCCUCAUCUCAAGGGGUCACAAAAGACCCCACAACAACAUGCAAAGAAUCAUUUUACUGGAAAUGAACCUCACGUCAAUGCAAACGGAUGCACUUGAGCAUAUCAACUCUAAACCUACAUGAAUUGAGAUCGAUCAGUCUGGAAAAGGUCAUAAAGCCACUUCUAAAGCUUUGGGACUCCAGCCAACUACAGCAAGAGACAUUAUUCACAAAUGGCGAAAACAUGGAACAUUGGUGAACCUUCCCAGGAGUGGUCGCCGGACCAAAAUGACCCCAAGAACGUAACGUCGCCUCAUCUCAAGAGGUCACAAAAGACCCCACAACAACAUGCAAAGAAUCAUUUUACUGGAAAUGAACCUCACGUCAAUGCAAACGGAUGCACUUGAGCAUAUCAACUCUAAACCUACAUGAAUUGAGAUAUAUCAGUCUGGAAAAGGUCAUAAAGCCACUUCUAAAGCUUUGGGACUCCAGCCAAGCACAGCGAGAGCAAUCAUUCACAAAUGGCGAAAACAUCUUCAGAGCUUCAAGGAACUACGGCCUGAUAUUCCUGUAUGCAUUGUCAUCUUACCCUGGCUCGCUAAUCUCUCACUGCUUAUCUAUUUGACUAACCGUGUCAGCAACAGCUCGUCCAUUUCUGCCGUGUGCACGACUUCUUAUCACGCGUUCUAUCAUAGUCUUUUUAAGGCGAAUAUGCCCAUAAAUAGGAGUUUACACAGGGAAGCCAUGAAAACAAAAAAUAACAUAAUAAUAAUAAUAUAAUAGAGACCAUAAUAAAAUAUGCAGUGACUGUACCUGACAUCAUGCUGUGCCCCAGUGUCACCACACGGAGAAAAAAGUAGGAGGCAUCCAAAAUAGAGACGCUCCUCCCCCCAGGGCGCCAAGGGGCAAGGCAAUGUUUAAACUGUUCCUGCUGAACCUUCAAUUCCAACAAAGUCGCUCACUUUCCGACUUCAUGCGCUGUAUUGCUUUAUCUGUGCGUCGUCACCAGGUUCAAGGUUGCACAGGCACUCGGGAGCCAUCUUGGUCUCGGUCGAUGCUAUAGUGCAAGGUGCAGGUGACAAUAAAAAUCAAAACACAAAUACUGUAUGCUCAGGCAGCAUUUAUUAACUGGGCUGUUUCAUGUUGAUUUUUUGUACAUAUUUAUAUUUUUAUAUUAUGGGAUAGGCUCCAGCACCCCCCGCGACCCUCGUGAGGAAAAAGCGGUAGAAAAUGAAUGAAUGAAUAUAUUUUUUUAUAAUAUAUUGUAUAUAUUUUAAAAAGUCAUUUAAAAAAGCAAAAU
Non-coding RNA from Doryrhamphus excisus (bluestripe pipefish), 3671 nucleotides. The record is from RefSeq and is a predicted model, not a curated record. NCBI's taxonomy places the organism in Eukaryota, Metazoa, Chordata, Actinopteri, Syngnathiformes, Syngnathidae.